UGGAAAAAUUUCGAAUCUUAGUCAUAGUGCGCGAUGUGACAAAACCCUUCCGAGCAUGUUUCGUAUAACGUCGGCAAAUUCAGAUUUCGAUGCAUAACUUUUAGUGUUUUCGGCACGUUAAAGUUUCACUAUAUGAUUCUGUAACCCAUCUAUCAGUGUCUAUUCAGAAUCCACCACUGCCAUUACUUUUUUUGUGAAUUUAACAUAAGUGAAGUUAAUUAACCGCGUUUUACGGCUGGUAAUCAGCCACUUAGAAAUCUAUUAUAAUAACGAUUGCCCUCCCUUGAUCACAACAUUUUUUUUGGAAGGGGAGAAAUAUAAUGAAUCCCUCAUAGAAACUUUUAAAAAUGCAAAAGAUCAAGUGCGUUACUGUAUAGAAAGUGUAAGCUACACAGUUUGGUAUCUGAUUUAAGGAUACGUAGAACUGCGGUGAGUUUUCCUUGUGAUCUAUUAUAUUACAAUACACAGGUUGUAUAAGUAGCAACUGAGUAUAGGUAUUGUAUUAACUGGGUUAUAAUGUUACCUAU
This is a non-coding RNA of Schizosaccharomyces pombe (fission yeast), 527 nucleotides long. The record is from the annotation of a GenBank genome assembly. NCBI's taxonomy places the organism in Eukaryota, Fungi, Ascomycota, Schizosaccharomycetes, Schizosaccharomycetales, Schizosaccharomycetaceae.